AUCAGCCUUUUGGGUGUGAUUUUGUGGAGCGUGAAGAGUUAAACGCCUUCAUGCCUGCAUAUUCGUGCACUUUGGGUGUACUUGCCCGUAUGGUUGGUUAACAUCAAUUUUGGUGGUCAUAAAAUGACUGGAGGAAUGUAGCUUCGAUCUUGUAUUGAAGUGUUAUAGCCUUCGGUAGAUGUGAUGAUCGAGAUUGAGGAUUGCAACGGAUACCCUUCGGGGCUACCUGUCUGGUCUCUGAUCGUUGCUCUGGUGCCGAAAGCUUGCUUACGGUUAUCAAAGUCGAUGGUCAAUAGGUUAGAACAGGUUAAAUUCGUUAAGGAUGUUGACGUAAUGGCUUU
RNAcentral lists this ribosomal RNA (341 nucleotides) under uncultured Glomeromycotina. Its description in RNAcentral is "eukaryotic LSU rRNA". Lineage: Eukaryota; Fungi; Glomeromycota. The record is from RNAcentral.